This 506-nucleotide ribosomal RNA is filed under the name uncultured bacterium. Its description in RNAcentral is "partial 16S ribosomal RNA". It matches the Rfam family "Bacterial small subunit ribosomal RNA", at positions 899 to 1397 of the family's 1533-position model. The record is from RNAcentral.
ACUCAAAUGAAUAGACGGGGGCUCACACAAGCGGUGGAGCAUGUGGCUUAAUUCGAGGCUACGCGCAAAACCUUAUCCCGGGCUUGACAUGCACGGAUUAGCCGGCGGAAACGUCGGCGAGGCCGCAAGGUACAACGUGCACAGGUGCUGCAUGGCUGUCGUCAGCUCGUGCCGUGAGGUGUUGGGUUAAGUCCCGUAACGAGCGAAACCCCUGUCCUUAGUUGCCAGCGCGUCAUGGCGGGCACUCUAAGGAGACCGCCGGCGUCAAGCCGGAGGAAGGCGGGGAUGACGUCAAGUCCUCAUGGCCCUUAUGCCCGGGGCUGCACACGUGCUACAAUGGGGCGUCACAAAGCGACGCGAGGUCGCAAGGCCAAGCCAAUCGCCCAAACCGCCCCCCAGUUCGGAUUGCGGGCUGCAACCCGCCCGCAUGAAGCCGGAAUCGCUAGUAAUCGCGGAUCAGCACUGCCGCGGUGAAUGGGUUCCUGAGCCUUGCACACACCGCCCGU